Acanthosepion pharaonis is the source of this 92-nucleotide non-coding RNA. The record is from the annotation of a GenBank genome assembly. NCBI's taxonomy places the organism in Eukaryota, Metazoa, Mollusca, Cephalopoda, Sepiida, Sepiidae.
GUUAAAACACCGGUUCACGUACGAUCACAGACGUUAAACAACGUCGAGCCUGGUCAGUACCUAGAUGGGUGACCGUUUACCAGGUGCUGUAA